Molecule: ribosomal RNA, 254 nt
Filed under: uncultured bacterium
Lineage: Bacteria
Description: partial 16S ribosomal RNA
Rfam family: Bacterial small subunit ribosomal RNA
Source: RNAcentral
GACGUAGGGCGCGAGCGUUGUCCGGAUUUAUUGGGCGUAAAGAGCUCGUAGGCGGCUUGUCGCGUCGUCCGUGAAAACCUGCGGCUCAACUGCAGGCUGGCGGUCGAUACAGGCAGGCUGGAGUUCGGUAGGGGAGACUGGAAUUCCUGGUGUAGCGGUGAAAUGCGCAGAUAUCAGGAGGAAUACCGGUGGCGAAGGCGGCAUCCUGGACCGGCAUUGACGCUGAGUGAGCGAAAGCCAGGGGAGCAAACGGG